UACGUAGGGUCCGAGCGUUGUCCGGAAUUACUGGGCGUAAAGAGCUCGUAGGUGGUUUGUCGCGUUGUUCGUGAAAACUCACAGCUCAACUGUGGGCGUGCGGGCGAUACGGGCAGACUUGAGUACUGCAGGGGAGACUGGAAUUCCUGGUGUAGCGGUGGAAUGCGCAGAUAUCAGGAGGAACACCGGUGGCGAAGGCGGGUCUCUGGGCAGUAACUGACGCUGAGGAGCGAAAGCUAGGGGAGCGAACAGG
This 253-nucleotide ribosomal RNA is filed under the name uncultured bacterium. RNAcentral's name for it is "partial 16S ribosomal RNA". It matches the Rfam family "Bacterial small subunit ribosomal RNA", at positions 524 to 776 of the family's 1533-position model. The record is from RNAcentral.